This 157-nucleotide ribosomal RNA is filed under the name Eugenia brevistyla. RNAcentral's name for it is "5.8S ribosomal RNA". It matches the Rfam family "5.8S ribosomal RNA". From Rfam's summary of the family: 5.8S ribosomal RNA (5.8S rRNA) is a component of the large subunit of the eukaryotic ribosome. It is transcribed by RNA polymerase I as part of the 45S precursor that also contains 18S and 28S rRNA. Lineage: Eukaryota; Viridiplantae; Streptophyta; Magnoliopsida; Myrtales; Myrtaceae. The record is from RNAcentral.
CGACUCUCGGCAACGGAUAUCUCGGCUCUCGCAUCGAUGAAGAACGUAGCGAACUGCGAUACUUGGUGUGAAUUGCAAAAUCCCGUGAAUCAUCGAGUCUUUGAACGCAAGUUGCGCCCGAKUCCUAGACGAGGGCACGUUUGCCUGGGUGUCACAA